RNAcentral lists this ribosomal RNA (230 nucleotides) under uncultured bacterium. RNAcentral's name for it is "partial 16S ribosomal RNA". It matches the Rfam family "Bacterial small subunit ribosomal RNA", at positions 15 to 235 of the family's 1533-position model. The record is from RNAcentral.
GAUCCUGGCUCAGGAUGAACGCUAGCUACAGGCUUAACACAUGCAAGUCGAGGGGCAGCAUGGUCUUAGCUUGCUAAGGCCGAUGGCGACCGGCGCACGGGUGAGUAACACGUAUCCAACCUGCCGUCUACUACUUGGACAGCCUUCUGAAAGGAAGAUUAAUACAAGAUGGCAUCAUGAGUCCACAUGUUCACAUGAUUAAAGGUAUUCCGGUAGACGAUGGGGAUGCG